AGAAUCAACGCUGGCGGCGUGCCUCAGACAUGCAAGUCGAACGCGAAAGUCCCCUUCGGGGGACAAGUAGAGUGGCGCACGGGUGAGUAACACGUAGGUAAUCUACCUUCGGAUGGGGAAUAACAACCGGAAACGGUUGCUAAUACCGCAUAAUGCAGCGGCACCUAAUGGUGACAGUUGUUAAAGCGGGGGAUCGAAAGACCUCGCGUCUGAAGAGGAGCCUGCGACGGAUUAGCUAGUUGGUAGGGUAACGGCCUACCAAGGCGACGAUCCGUAGCCGGCCUGAGAGGGCGGUCGGCCACGACUGACACUGACAUACGGGUCAGACUCCUACGGGAGGCAGCAGUCGGGAAUUUUGGGCAAUGGGCGAAAGCCUGACCCAGCAACGCCGCGUGAAGGAUGAAAUCCCUCGGGAUGUAAACUUCGCAAGAACGGAAGAAUGAGUAGGGACAACACCCCUAUGAUGACGGUACCGUUUGUAAGCUCCGGCUAACUCCGCGCCAGCAGCCGC
RNAcentral lists this ribosomal RNA (511 nucleotides) under uncultured soil bacterium. RNAcentral describes it as "bacterial SSU rRNA". It matches the Rfam family "Bacterial small subunit ribosomal RNA", at positions 26 to 518 of the family's 1533-position model. The record is from RNAcentral.